AGCAGCGACUGCAGGUCUCUCCUUGCAGCCGCGGUGCGACAGCGGAGCAUAGGUGGCCGUGGUCGGAGUCAUGGCAGGACAGGCCUUUAGGAAGUUCCUUCCCCGCUUUGACCAAGUAUUAGCUGAAAGCAGUGCUGCAGAAACUGUAACCAAAGGAGGCAUGAUGCUUCCAGAAAAACCUCAAGGAAAAGUAUUGCAAGCCAUAGUGGUCCCUAUUGGAUCGGGCUCCAAAGGAAAGGGUGGAGAGAUUCAACCUGUUAGCGUGACAGUUGGAGAUAAAGGUCUCCUUCCAGAAUAUGGAGGCACCGAAGUAGUUCUAGACGACAAGGAUUGUUUCUUAUUUAGAGGUGGUGACAUUCCUGGAAAGUAUGUACCAGUAGACUGAAAUAAAUCACUAUUGAAAUGGCAUCAUGUGAAGCUGCCCAUUCCAUUGAAGUUCUGAAAUCUUUCGUCAUGUAAAUAAUUUCC
This is an RNA transcript of Myotis brandtii (Brandt's bat), 468 nucleotides long. It is a transcript of the gene named 10 kDa heat shock protein, mitochondrial pseudogene, with no coding region annotated. The transcript has a single exon. Lineage: Eukaryota; Metazoa; Chordata; Mammalia; Chiroptera; Vespertilionidae. The record is from RefSeq and is a predicted model, not a curated record.